CGCAAUGGGCGAAAGCCUGACGGAGCAACGCCGCGUGAGGGACGAAGGCCUCUGGGCCGUAAACCUCUUUUCUCAAGGAAGAAGAUAUGACGGUACUUGAGGAAUAAGCCACGGCUAAUUCCGUGCCAGCAGCCGCGGUAAUACGGGAGUGGCAAGCGUUAUCCGGAAUUAUUGGGCGUAAAGCGUCCGCAGGCGGCCUUUCAAGUCUGCUGUUAAAGCGUGGAGCUUAACUCCAUUAUGGCAGUGGAAACUGAUCGGCUUGAGUAUGGUAGGGGCAGAGGGAAUUCCCGGUGUAGCGGUGAAAUGCGUAGAUAUCGGGAAGAACACCAGUGGCGAAGGCGCUCUGCUGGGCCAUUACUGACGCUCAUGGACGAAAGCCAGGGGAGCGAAAGGGAUUAGAUACCCCUGUAGUCCUGGCCGU
This 421-nucleotide ribosomal RNA is filed under the name uncultured bacterium. Its description in RNAcentral is "bacterial SSU rRNA". It matches the Rfam family "Bacterial small subunit ribosomal RNA", at positions 367 to 803 of the family's 1533-position model. The record is from RNAcentral.